RNAcentral lists this long non-coding RNA (501 nucleotides) under Homo sapiens (human). Its description in RNAcentral is "HSALNT0132063". Lineage: Eukaryota; Metazoa; Chordata; Mammalia; Primates; Hominidae. The record is from RNAcentral.
ACCCGCAUGAAAGCAAACACAUGAGUCUGUCCAGAUGGAGUGCCGUGCUUCUCGUUGGCAGGUUUCUCCGGCAUUUCGGUACUAAGUUGGAAAUAGCUCCAGCUUCACUGAUUUCUGGGGUACACUGACUGCUUUACCCACAUUCAGUUCUCUGCUCCCAGGCUGUGGUCUGCUGCCACCGUGGCCUUGUCAGCAGGAGAAAGGUACACGGGUUAGAGGCAACCUCGGUGACACCAGAAGUUCAGUUUUGUUUGUGAUGCUUCUGACAGUGAUUCUCUGUAAGAUCCUCAGUGCGGCAUAGACUGAAAUGGUUCUGAUUUUCAUUGCAUUUUGUGACUCAGAGGGAAUGAGCAGGCCAGAGAGUCCUUUCCUCCAGAGAGUCCUUUCAUCUCAUCUCCUCUGUCUAGUCGUCUUUGCCUUUCAGCUAAUAUUUCAUAUAUUUCAUAGAAAUAAGCAUUAUUGCAUUUCAUGCUGUAUUUAGACAUUCCGGUGGGGGCAUGC